This 567-nucleotide long non-coding RNA is filed under the name Eutrema salsugineum. RNAcentral describes it as "long non-coding RNA (ESAL_LNC002114)". The record is from RNAcentral. Lineage: Eukaryota; Viridiplantae; Streptophyta; Magnoliopsida; Brassicales; Brassicaceae.
AAAGAGAAAAUGGUUACAAGUUUACUGAUCUCACUUUACCCACUGUUCUUUUGCUUCUGUCCUGGUAAAAUAUUACUCACCUCUGUCUUCUUCUUGACUUAAAUAACUGGAUAAAAUAUGUAUGAUGUAUCCUAUUAAAAUUUUAACGGAUGCUUUAAAAUAUGUGUUGAUGAUCGUACGUGUGUUCAUUUCAUGCCACAAAUUUCCCAUCUCAUUCAUGAUCUCAUUUAAAUAAUCCUGUUCGAAAUUAUUUAUUUUAUUCAAACGGGUAGGAAAAAAGUACAGGAAUGAAAUGGGGUACUAUCCAAAUUAUAUUUUCAGAAUUACUAAAAAAAUCUCUUAAUUUUUUUUCUUACGUAUGUGACAGGUCGAAUUUUGUGGUUGUGGUUUUGAUUCUGAGUACUGCGAUAAGCAUGAGCCGUGCUCAACCUUACGGAGAAGGAUGGUUAGAGGAAGAUUGUUACCUGGUCAAAGACGGUGUCUUUGCAGCUUCAGGCUGUUUAGCCAUCUUUGGACUUGGAGCCUUGAUCAUAUCAGCCACCAAGAUCAAAGUAAACAACAAACAAC